UGGAGGAGAAAGGACCGCAGUGUGGCCGUCCCCCUAGGAGAUGCCAUCAAGUUAAAGGGAGAGCCUACUGAGUUAGGUGGGUCCUACAUCCAGUAGCUGGAUACCUGACAAAGAGAGAGAUCUUUGAAGAUAGAAAGGAGACCGAGAAGAAGACCAUGUGAUGAUGGAGGCGCGGACCUGAGUGCUGUAUCCACAAGCCAGGAACGCCAAGGAUUGCUGGCAAACACCGAGCCAGGAGAGGCAAGGAAGGAGACUUCGGAGGGAGCAUGGCCCUCUUGACACCUUGGCUUCCAAUUUCUAGCCUCCCCAACUACCAGUCUUUGGCUGGGACCUGACCCUGGAAGGGGCUGUGACCUUGGUGAGGCAGUGCUCUUCUCCUGAAAGCAAUCUUGGCAGGGAGGAGUCGGUGGAAGCUGUCGGCCAUCAACACUCGGGCAGCUGGAUGAACCCGAGGCCAUGAGUCUUGUAAGAAAAAGUGUUAUUUGAAAAUUCUUCGCAUUUGUGAAGAUGGCUUUUUGAAAGAUUGACAACUUUGCUGAUUCAAGUUUCUUGAAGUGGAACUAAAGUGCUUCCAAAAUCAUGUAUAACAACUUCCAUGAUAAAUCGUCUUUGAUCCAGACAUAAUGAAUGCAAAGAGCGUGAAAAAAAAAAUAAGAAAGUGUUGCAAAUUAAGGGCCCCAAACACAUUUUGUUCUCACUAAUCAAACUUCAAAACAACUGAUUUUAUAAGAAUACUUUACAAAGAUAAAUUCUUUAUAGUUUUGUGUCUAUUGAAGCUAAACCCUUAAAUCAAAGCUGUCAAUUUGACUGCAUAAUACUGUCAACCAUUUUCAGUAGUGGAAAGUAAGGAAUUUUCAAUAUUUCCCAAGCUGCCUUUUUUUUCAAGUUUUAUUUAUUUUAUUGAGAGAAAGAGAGAGAGAGAGAGAGAGAGAGAGAGAGAGAAGCAGAUGUCUUCAACAAGCUCUCAUUUCACUGCAGUCCCCCAGUGUCCAGCCCACUGAGAUCAUAUGCAUGCUUGCACACCUGACAUGUUCCAGGCCACUCCAGGAUCAGAACCCUGGUCUUCCACGUGGCUCCAGCACCAUACAACGGUGCCAAUGCAAUUGGGCCCUGAGCUAUGGUUCUUUUGAAAAGAAUUGUAUUUAUUACUAUUAUUCAAUUUGACCAGUGAAAGA
Tupaia belangeri chinensis (Chinese tree shrew) is the source of this 1175-nucleotide RNA transcript. It is a transcript of the gene named MAGE-like protein 2, with no coding region annotated. The record is from RefSeq and is a predicted model, not a curated record. Lineage: Eukaryota; Metazoa; Chordata; Mammalia; Scandentia; Tupaiidae. The transcript is spliced from 4 exons.